This 301-nucleotide ribosomal RNA is filed under the name uncultured bacterium. RNAcentral's name for it is "partial 16S ribosomal RNA". It matches the Rfam family "Bacterial small subunit ribosomal RNA", at positions 509 to 807 of the family's 1533-position model. The record is from RNAcentral.
CAGCCGCCACGGGAACACGGAGGGUGCGAGCGUUAAUCGGAAUAACUGGGCGUAAAGGGCACGCAGGCGGUGACUUAAGUGAGGUGUGAAAGCCCCGGGCUUAACCUGGGAAUUGCAUUUCAUACUGGGUCGCUAGAGUACUUUAGGAAGGGGUAGAAUUCCACGUGUAGCGGUGAAAUGCGUAGAGAUGUGGAGGAAUACCGAAGGCGAAGGCAGCCCCUUGGGAAUGUACUGACGCUCAUGCGCGAAAGCGUGGGGAGCAAACAGGAUUAGAUACCCCCGUAGUCCCUGUCUCUUAUAC